UACGUAGGUGGCAAGCGUUGUCCGGAAUUACUGGGCGUAAAGGGAGCGCAGGCGGGAAGCCAAGUCAGCUGUGAAAACUACGGGCUUAACUUGUAGACUGCAGUUGAAACUGGUUUUCUUGAGUGAAGUAGAGGUUGGCGGAAUUCCGAGUGUAGCGGUGAAAUGCGUAGAUAUUCGGAGAAACACCGGUGGCGAAGGCGGCCAACUGGGCUUUAACUGACGCUGAGGCUCGAAAGUGUGGGGAGCAAACAGG
RNAcentral lists this ribosomal RNA (253 nucleotides) under uncultured bacterium. RNAcentral's name for it is "partial 16S ribosomal RNA". It matches the Rfam family "Bacterial small subunit ribosomal RNA", at positions 524 to 776 of the family's 1533-position model. The record is from RNAcentral.